AAAUCCCCAGACAGCUCGUCAGG
This 23-nucleotide non-coding RNA is filed under the name Cricetulus griseus (Chinese hamster). The record is from RNAcentral. Lineage: Eukaryota; Metazoa; Chordata; Mammalia; Rodentia; Cricetidae.